Long non-coding RNA from Bactrocera dorsalis (oriental fruit fly), 5752 nucleotides. RefSeq lists it as uncharacterized. The record is from RefSeq and is a predicted model, not a curated record. The transcript has 2 exons. Lineage: Eukaryota; Metazoa; Arthropoda; Insecta; Diptera; Tephritidae.
AUCUGGGCCCGAAUCGCGGCAGUCGUGAGCGAGCAAGUAAUCGUAUCGAGUGAAAUUUCGUAACGUGUCGAGUGUGCGGAUCGUCGCACUCGACACGAAACGAAUAGAAAUUUUAUGAAAUAACUUCCCUGGUGUAGCUGUAAAUGACAUUUUCGAAUACAUUCAAAUACGAAACAAAACAAGUAUUUGAAUUUGAAUUCAAUGCAAAUCUUAUAUAUAAAAAUGAAUCGCAAAAUGUGUUGGUAAGCGCAUAACUCAACAACGCUUAGAACAAGUUUGCCAAUUCUUUUUUUAAAAUGUUCUUUGAGGUUCAAGGAAGGUUUUUACGGCAAGAAAAAUUCGAAUAAUUGACGGAAAACCCUUAAAACCAGCCCUUUUCUUUUUCCCAUACAAACGAGUGAAUGUUUGUUUAUUAGUAACGCUGAGAGAACGACUGAACCAAUCUUGAUGAAAUUUUCAGAGAAUGUUCUGGUAGGAUCGGGGAAGGUAUAGAAAUAAAAAAACCUGUAUGCUUUUCGUGAGAAAAAGUCGGAAAAUUGGACAAUUCCAAAAAGUUAAUUUUUUCCAUACAAAUUUUUUUAAAUUUUUUUGUUUUGUUUUUCAAUUAUUUGAAUCGUUCAAAUUUGUCGUUUGCUUCAAAAAUUUUUGAAAAUUAUUCAGUGAAAUUGUUAUGUGUGUUGCAUACAAAGUGAUCAAUUGCAGAUUGAAAUUUGCUACGAUGUCACGAAGAGGUCCCGCUAAUAUCGGUCGGCGUUCUUUUUGGCAUCAACAUACAUUAGUAGCCCAAGGCACAUGACCGAGUAUUCCCAGGAUGCGAUGACAUACGUGCGGUGUUAUGGAUCGCGGUCAAUUAGCAAGCGAUCGUCACGAUGUCACAGCAAGACUUUUCAAACAACAGCUUCGAUGGACUUUAUCUUGAAGCAACGUAUAUAUGGUGCUGUUAGAUGCUAGAUGUACUCUUUUGAGUGGCAAAAGAGAGGUUUGCCGCACGCAUACAUUCUUCUUUGGAUGGUGGAUGGUGGUUACACCAGAUCAUAUUGAUGAAACCAUUUCUGUGGAAAUUCGUGAUCCAGAGAAAGAUCCAGUAUUAUACGAAGUGGUAGAAACCAAUAUGGUUCAUGGACCUUGCAUCCACUACAAUCGCUUUUCGGUUUGUAUAUCUGAUAAUAAAUGCACGAAACACUAUCCAAGUGCUUUUCUCUCGGAAACACAAACUCAUCGGCAUCGCACACCAGAUAACAAUGCCAGAACAUUCAGCAUUCAAUUUAAAAGAGUGUAUAUCGAAGCUGACAACACAUGGAUCGUACUAUAUUCCCAUUGUUCUUUAAUUCACAUUCAAAACUCAUAUCAAUGUUGAGUAUUGCAGUUUGGUUAAAUCUAUAUAACGCGUUUGUAAGUACGUCACCAAAGGAAGCAAUACGAUACGGUCGAUACGUGAACCGCAAUAAAGCGCUUUGUAGAAUAUUUACUUUUGCAAUUCAUGAACGUUUUCCGACCGGCGAGAACAUUGCCCUAUUCGGAAAUACCUUGAUAUCUGGAAUGCAUCGUCGAAGAAAUAGUUGCGCAGAAAGCAAGGCCAACCAGUGGAUGGGCAUCCAGAUGUGUUAUCAACUAAUGCAUUAGGACGAAUUUACACAAUCUACCCGAAAAACGACGAUUGUUUCUACCUUCGGUUGCUAUCGAUUAAUGAACGCGGUUCAACUUCAUUUGAGUCAUUGCGUACUGUGAAUGUUACGGUGUCUGUGAGUUUUGGAGAAGUAUGCCAGGAAUUACAAUUGCUGGUAAAUGUCAAUCACUGGAAUGCACAUGAAGUUCGCACACUUUUCGCGAUAAUCAUUUCGACGUAUCAGGGUCAAUUCCGGUUGAUACUUCCGGUGGUUUGAUAUCAAUUCCAUUCGCCGCUUAUCAAUUCACGAAAGAUGAACUCAUCACGAAUGUGUAUCCGAAUAUUGGCCAAAUUAUCGUAACUACGAUUCCUUAAGUGCACGCGCAAUGUUAGCUGCCAAAAAUACCGAUGUUUUGACUUAAACUGGAAGAUUCAAAGCCAAAUUCCGGGAGACUUGCGCUCAUACAAAUCGAUCGAUCGUUUUGACAAUGAAGACGACGCCAUGAAUUAUCCUUUGGAAUUUCUAAAUUUUUUGGAGAGGCUUGGUAGUUUGCCACCGCAUCAUUUGCGUCUCAAAGCUGGAUCUGUCGUUAUUAUGUUCCGCAAUCUGCGCUAUCGAAUACAAGGGGACAGAAUACUUGAUUCUAAUAAUUCCUUUGAGUUCUAACGAUUUGCCAUUUCAUUUCAAACGUAUUCCGUUUCCAGUGAAAAUCGGUCAGAUAUACGUUGCGUACUCACGAGUUGGAAAACCAAAAUAAAUAAAUAAAUUACAUUGAAAUAAAAAAAUAUGAAAUGGUAAAUUUAACUUUCUUUUCAUUUCCAAAUACAUAAUUUCAAGCAGGACAACGGCUGCGGGGUCAGCUAGUAUUCAAUAUAUGUUUAUACAAUAUGUGUAAUAAAUUGUAUAUAAAUUUACUAAAUUUAGUUUUUGCAUUCAAUAAAAUGAACCCUAACGUGUUUUUUAUACAAGUUCAUCUGAUUCAGAUGAAAAAUAUCACGAAAUGGCCAUACGAUUCAGGAUUCGUGAUAAAAGUAAUUCCAUGGAUUUACCUGAAGCAGCGUAAGAAAAUUAUACCGUUUAACUUAGUAUAGAUCAUAUUAUUUUAAAUCAUUUACAGAUUCAGGAAGUGAUUUAGACUGACCAAAGACGCAUUUACUUUCAUCAUAUCGGAAAUAAAAAUUAACGGACAUUUAUCAACCGCAGUACCAUCAAUCAGCCGGUGGGCCGGUGGAAAAUUUUCAGUAAAGAUAACAUAAGUCGGUAUAUUCCUGAAAAGGAAUAGAUACGGGAAAAUGAGACUCAAUUAACUAAAUUGGUCAUAAAAUUAGAGAUCAUAUUAUCCAGUAUUUUAUUAUCUAAAUGAAUUAAACGUUCCAACAACAUUUGAAUUCAUGUUUUGUUCUAAUAAAUAUAUUUUCAAUAAAAACAGGAACUUGGAAUUAACAUAUCGUAUAUAUUGGUGUUUAUUUCUUAAUUUUUCUCUUUAAAAUUUCAAGCUCAUGAGUUUUAACCUGCAACUCUACAGCUUUUUUGCAUAUCUGCUUGAUGUACAUCUUCUUUUAUUUGCAGCGAUCUCUUCUUUUAAGCAAUUAGUUUCUCAAGAUUUUUACUUCUACUGCAACAUCUAUCCCCGUAGCAUGGAGGAGUUGCUCUUCUGCUACAGUUAAAAGCUUUUCCUCGUACUGACCACCACCAGUCUUUUGUUUCGAGGCUUUUUUGAAAGAAAUUUUUUUUUUUAUAUUGUGCUUUUGAUCAGCAAAUACCUAUUUUUGUAUUUUAUUAUUAUCUUUAUCAUUUCGUCAAAAUUUAGCAUCUUUCAUCGGUGGCCCGGCAGCGUUAAGUUUUAGCGUCAAUGUACCUCAUAGCUUAUUUAAUGCAACUUUGCCUUGCCCACAAUUAGGCAAAAUAUUAUUUGCUAAAUUCUGAUGCUGUAGUAUAAAAUUACUCAUCAAAUUUUUUUGGUGCAUAUUUGUCCUUAAAUCAUUAUUUAUAAUUAUAAUACAUGUUAAAUAAACUCAAUAAAAGAAAAAUAACUUAUAUUUCACUUCCGAUUAAUUUUAACUGUUAUAUUCAAACUUUUUUUUUUAAUUUGUACUAUAACGUUUCUCAAAUAGCUAACGAGUGAGAUUUCGAUUCUUUCGUACAAACGAGAACACGUUAUCGAAUGAGGAAAUUUCAAAUUUCGAAAGUGCGCAUUCGAUAGCGAGUACAACGAUCCGAAAACAAAAAAAUUUCAUAAAUUUCGUUCGUUAACGUGUGCCGCGAUUCGGGCCCUGAUUUUGUUUACAAUUGACUUAUCGAACCGCCCUCGUGUGAUGUGUAUAUUAUAAAUAUUCGAGUAAACAAUUACCGAAAAGCUAUCUCGAGCGUGAAAGAUAAUGGACACUUUAUAAUGACUUUACGAGCAUCUAAACAAAAAUAAAUAAAUGACUAACAUAAGAUCCUAAGUACCCAGAUAAGAAUAUAAAUAUGCCAACUAAUAAUUUCACCACAUAUUAUAUACACGCGUUGGUUUUCAUAUGCGAAUUUAAAAGGAAUGCCGGCUGAAACUUUCGCCGAAACUGUUUAACAACACCGGAAAAUUUUAAACACUCAAAACAUAUUUCGGAGGACGUUUCAGCUCCAUUUUGAUAUAUUUUUUGAUACUCUCUAACAAAUUGAUGAAAUUGAUUUAAGAUCUUUUGAAUCGCACGACCGAGGCGUACAAUUGACUUGGCCAUCUCAUGAGGUAACACGUUCAGCAAACUUGGCUUUGAAUAAAUCGAUUGCGAUAAUCACUGUGUGGUUUGUGGAGCCGUCCUCUUGGAACCACAUAUUGUCCAUAUCAUCCAAUUCGGGCCAAAAAUAUACGGUUAUCAUUGAGCGGUAGCGAUUCCCAUUCACGGUAGGGUGCCGGUCUUGAUCAUCACGGAAGAAGUACGGCCCAAUGACGCCGCCGGUCCAUGAACCGCACCAAACCGUAAUUAAUUGCGGAAUGCAAUGGUGAUUCAUGGAGUACGUGCGGAUUGCUGAUUGACGAAAAGAAAUGCCAAAAGAGCGGGAAAAAAUAUGGCGUCGUUUGCUGUCCCUAUUGAAAAUCCCGUUAGCUUCCAUAACUUAUAGAGUUAAAACUCUCUGCAAAGCACAAAAUAAAUGCAAAUGUACGAGACGGCCGACGUAAAAAGCUUUCGAAUGGCUUCACCGAGCCGUAUGAAGCGAAAUGGGCUUUGAGAUAGAUAUCUUCUUUGCGAGCAUACAACUGGAACUUUAUGCAGAGUAAUGAGUAAAGUGAAUAAUGAUCGAACAACUGAGUAAAUUAUGUAAAAACGGUGAACGCGGGCAUUUGAGAGGUCAUAAGGUCAAAUAAAGAGAACAUUCGUUCUUAAAACAGUGGUUUAAGCGGAGGCGAAAUAGGGUUCCGAUCUUUUUUUAUCCAGCUAAAGACUGUCAACAUUGCAGGAUUCCUCAAAAUUAUUUGGGAAAUAUUAUCUGCUGGUACAACAAAAACAACAACAACAUAGUUAGAAAGGACAGAAGUGUACUAUUGUUCAAAUCAAGUUCUGUUAAACUGAGCGCGCUAAUUGAAUCGAAAUUGCUUGAAAGUUUGUGUUUUCUGUGAGAUCACAGCUGUGAUGGUCGUGAAGUCAUCGAAAACUUGUCAUCCACCUCUGUUAAAUACGGUAACAUCGAUAAAGUGAAAGGAACAGUCCUUGUAAAUCAUCGUGUUGGCAUCAGAGAGAUAGCAGAGGAUCCCAACUUGGAUCGACUCAGGACAAUUUGUUCAACCUUAGGACAAUUAGGAAGUGUGCCAAAGCUAGACCUGUAUAAAACAACACAAUCUUUUGCAAAAAGAUCGUCGAGCAAAGGUCGCUAAAAAGAUGCUUGACAACGUAUCUGAAGACCCUACAUUCAUAAAAAUCCAAAAUUUCUGUAACGAGACGUGGGUUUUUUGAAUAUGACAUCGAAACUGUCUAACUAUCUAGCGAAAGGCGAUCUAAAAAUGGCCCGAAACCGAAAAUAAAAAUUAAAUUAGCUGAAACUACGGAAGGCCAUCACAGCCGAGGCUUAUAACAAGUAUAUGGAAAUUUUUGUUAAGCGUUUAAAUGCUUGUAUUGGCUCAGGCGCCUGUUAUAAAAACGGUAAUAAAAAUUUAUAUUGAAAAAUAA